This is a long non-coding RNA of Pieris brassicae (large cabbage white), 457 nucleotides long. RefSeq lists it as uncharacterized. Lineage: Eukaryota; Metazoa; Arthropoda; Insecta; Lepidoptera; Pieridae. The transcript is spliced from 4 exons. The record is from RefSeq and is a predicted model, not a curated record.
CUGUCAUCGUAUCACCGAAGUCACUUGUUACAUGUGCUCAGGAUUCGUAAGACGCUUCAUAGUCCAAUCAUUUACAUAUUAAAUUACACAAUGUAUAUAAUAACUAUUCUGAAUUUUAAUCUAAGAUGAACGUGAAAGAUGAUAUUUUGAGAAAUGCCUACAAAGACCAUAGAGGGGCUGGUCUUGAAGUAAGUUUGAGGCUGAAAAUUUAUGUGACAUGUGUGUAUAAGAAGCAGUGACUAAUGACUUCUAAUUAAAAAAUAUGGGUAAGCUUAACCAGACUGAAGAGCUGAGGACCAAUAACCAAUGUUAGCAUUUUCGCGCAGAAACAUCAUGCAUUUAAACAUGAGUCACAUAUGUUAGAGGUAAACAAUGGGAUCGAGCUGCACUGUUGAAUAACAAGUAUAGUACAAUGAAAAGUAUGUUUCUGUUAGAAAAAUAAAAUUACAACAUUAAG